RNAcentral lists this ribosomal RNA (439 nucleotides) under Serratia symbiotica. RNAcentral's name for it is "bacterial SSU rRNA". It matches the Rfam family "Bacterial small subunit ribosomal RNA", at positions 23 to 458 of the family's 1533-position model. Lineage: Bacteria; Pseudomonadati; Pseudomonadota; Gammaproteobacteria; Enterobacterales; Yersiniaceae. The record is from RNAcentral.
CUCAGAUUGAACGCUGGCGGCAGGCCUAACACAUGCAAGUCGAGCGGUAGCACAAGAGAGCUUGCUCUCUGGGUGACGAGCGGCGGACGGGUGAGUAAUGUCUGGGAAACUGCCUGAUGGCGGGGGAUAACUAGUGGAAACGGUAGCUAAUACCGCAUAACGUCGCAAGACCAAAGUGGGGGACCUUCGGGCCUCACGCCAUCAGAUGUGCCCAGGUGGGAUUAGCUGGUAGGUGGGGUAACGGCUCACCUAGGCGACGAUCCCUAGCUGGUCUGAGAGGAUGACCAGCCACACUGGAACUGAGACACGGUCCAGACUCCUACGGGAGGCAGCAGUGGGGAAUAUUGCACAAUGGGCGCAAGCCUGAUGCAGCCAUGCCGCGUGUGUGAAGAAGGCCUUCGGGUUGUAAAGCACUUUCAGCGAGGAGGAAGGGUAAUGU